Long non-coding RNA from Oreochromis aureus, 1385 nucleotides. NCBI's taxonomy places the organism in Eukaryota, Metazoa, Chordata, Actinopteri, Cichliformes, Cichlidae. The record is from Ensembl.
CUCAGCCUCCGGUGUCUGUCUCGCCUGUGUGGCGCUCUCCUGCAUCCCUCAGUAAGCAUCACUCUCUGUGGAGCCGGUGCGAGGCAUCCUCCCUUACAAACACCGGUCCUGGACAUCCUAGACAGCCCGUCCUGCGACAUAUUUUUACUUUGGACCCGUUGAUGUCACUUCCUGCUUGGGCAACUGCCUGUGCAAAUAAACCCAGGGAUGUGAAGGGGUGCUCGGGGAGCCAUUUUUUGAGGUCACGCAGCAGACAAGUUCACAAGGUCAUGCAGUAGCGACAUCUCCCAAAGCCGACAACAAGCUCGUUACUCUUAAAAUGACAACUAUCAUCCCAUCUGGCUCAUUCCAACUGUGCCCUAUAGUUUUAUAUAACCAGCUACAUCCACAUCAUCCUACCCCCCUGUGAUGCGCCGGCAAGGUUCAUUUCCUGGUACGCUGUGCGCAUUUACGGCCACGAUUAUGCAAUGAAGGCGGCAUCAUCACUUUUUGACAAAUGCUAUACAACGCAGCUGGGUCUCCUUUUACCCCAAUCCCCUUGUAGGCCCCAGUGAUAGAUGGGCAUCAACGUGCCAAUACUUCAAUGUAUUUCAAUUUCCUGCUCAGGAAAAGGAAUUCAAGGGGUUGAGCGAAGUUCAGAGUAACAGCGUGGUGCCUAAAGCUCACAACCUGUCCCCAGCCUCGUGCCGAGAACCUGAGAUCCAAACAUUCAGCUGAGAAAAUUCUUGAGACCAGGUCCUGUAUGUGUCAACAAAACAGCCCCUGCUGCCACUAUCCAGACUGAGAGACGGGAGCAAAGAGGAGCAAACGACAGCAGAUCCAACAGCCUGAGCAGUUAUUCUGAGCCUUGGAGGUCAGCACUGAAUUCUGGCCUGCUGUAAGACCAGACCAAGAUGAAGUGAGAAGGCCCCUCUCUUCAACAGGGAGUGGCAGCGCAACGUGGAAAGGCUUAACACAGACACACACUAACACACACACACCUCAUGUCUGUUUAUUCACAUCGGCAAAGCACGUGCAGACACAUGUGCGUGUGCGCACACACACACACACGCACACAAUCUGCCUCACCCUCACAUAGACAUACGCAUACAAAAGCACACCUGUCAGGGCCUUUCCACUGUGUGAGCAAAAGCAAAGAAGUCCGGCCCCCCCUCCGUCUCUCUGUAUGUGGUAUCCCAUGUCUGUUAUAUUAAAGCAAAUCUAUUCAGUUCCCACUUUCUUAUCUGAAAUAAUGGCAUGAGCAAUUUUCACAUUUAAGUAAGCAAGGACACAUGCAGUCUCUCUCUCUUCCACUCUCUCACUUAAUGAAUGGAAUCAGAUCUGGGCCCCUGUGGCUGCGGUCUAAUCUGCCUUUGAAGAUUUCUACAAUUUACAGAAAUAAAUAA